UACGUAGGGUGCGAGCGUUAAUCGGAAUUACUGGGCGUAAAGCGUGCGCAGGCGGUUUUGUAAGACAGAUGUGAAAUCCCCGGGCUCAACCUGGGACCUGCAUUUGUGACUGCAAGGCUGGAGUACGGCAGAGGGGGAUGGAAUUCCGCGUGUAGCAGUGAAAUGCGUAGAUAUGCGGAGGAACACCGAUGGCGAAGGCAAUCCCCUGGGCCUGUACUGACGCUCAUGCACGAAAGCGUGGGGAGCAAACAGG
RNAcentral lists this ribosomal RNA (253 nucleotides) under uncultured bacterium. RNAcentral describes it as "partial 16S ribosomal RNA". It matches the Rfam family "Bacterial small subunit ribosomal RNA", at positions 524 to 776 of the family's 1533-position model. The record is from RNAcentral.